UUCCGGAGUUGAGGGAUAUGUAAACAAUUAGUUAUUACCAACACAAUGGUCAUGAUCAUAAUCGUGGUCGCGGCAGCAGACGUCGAGCUCUUCACGACGCCACCGCUCUCCUUCCACGUCCCCACCAAGUUCAAAGAAGGUGCGACGGCGGCGAACCUGUCACCAGCCUUUAGGCCUUUAGGUCUGUCACCUUUCACACCGGCGACGGUGGCAAACCUCGCCUGGGGCUUCGACUUCUUUAGCUACGCGAUGGCGGAUGCCUUGCUCUCCCUCGGAAACAUCAUGAUGGCCACGGUCAAUCCUGCCCUACCCACCGGCAUGGUCGCCGUCGCACACAUCACCUUCCCAUCCAGCCUGCGCCCGCCGACCGUCUCGCACGACCCGCUCCACAACUACCCGGCUCCUUCUUGCAUGAAAACGCCAUAUAUUUCAUAUUGA
Molecule: ribosomal RNA, 438 nt
Filed under: Triticum aestivum (bread wheat)
Lineage: Eukaryota; Viridiplantae; Streptophyta; Magnoliopsida; Poales; Poaceae
Description: partial small subunit ribosomal RNA
Source: RNAcentral